AGGGGAACACCUGGGUGCCACCAUGGGGGUUUGCAACAGGCUUUGGAGGGGGACUGAUGGGGUUUGGGGGUGGUGUUCAAGAGGGCGGGGGUGGAGUUGUGCUGUCCUUCCAUCUGAGGGUCCCAAGGGGGGCGUUUGGGGGUCCUGCUGUGGUUUGGGUGUGGGACCGCGGCGUUCAGGGAUGGUGGGACCGCAGCGGAUUGGAUUUCUCGUCCCUGAGGGUUCAACAUUGGGGUUCCACGUGCGCAGCUUUUGGGGUUCCCUUCUCUGGGUUUGUGAGUGCUUGGUGGGGGGUGGGACGUGUUGAGAGCCUGCAGAGCUGCAACGAGUGUGAAGGCUGAGAUCUGGAGUCUGGCUUCAGCACGGGAUGCAGAACUCGAGUCCCCCGUCAGCUGGGUUUGGGAGAUUCCUCAUGAAGUCAGGAGGCUGCGGGCAUCGAUGAGGAAGAAAAGGCCGAGGCCAAAGACGAGCGCAGCCACAAAGCCCCUCACCAGUGCCAGCACCAGAUUGGCACGGGACUGCUGCUCAGCACCCGUGGGCUCUGCAGCACCAGCUCCACGGGGUCGCUCAGCUCCGAUGUCUCUGCUGACCCAUACAGGUGAUACUGACACCGAUACGGACCUGCGUGCUCCCGCUUUGUGCUUACAAAGGAGAACUCUGCAGUGUCCU
Long non-coding RNA from Tympanuchus pallidicinctus (lesser prairie-chicken), 669 nucleotides. RefSeq lists it as uncharacterized. The record is from RefSeq and is a predicted model, not a curated record. The transcript is spliced from 3 exons. NCBI's taxonomy places the organism in Eukaryota, Metazoa, Chordata, Aves, Galliformes, Phasianidae.